AUGAACGCUGGCGGCGUGCCUAAUACAUGCAAGUCGAGCGAACAGACGAGGAGCUUGCUCCUCUGACGUUAGCGGCGGACGGGAGAGUAACACGUGGAUAACCUACCUAUAAGACUGGGAUAACUUCGGGAAACCGGAGCUAAUACCGGAUAAUAUAUUGAACCGCAUGGUUCAAUAGUGAAAGACGGUUUUGCUGUCACUUAUAGAUGGAUCCGCGCCGCAUUAGCUAGUUGGUAAGGUAACGGCUUACCAAGGCGACGAUGCGUAGCCGACCUGAGAGGGUGAUCGGCCACACUGGAACUGAGACACGGUCCAGACUCCUACGGGAGGCGGCAGUAGGGAAUCUUCCGCAAUGGGCGAAAGCCUGACGGAGCAACGCCGCGUGAGUGAUGAAGGUCUUCGGAUCGUAAAACUCUGUUAUUAGGGAAGAACAAAUGUGUAAGUAACUAUGCACGUCUUGACGGUACCUAAUCAGAAAGCCACGGCUAACUACGUG
This 496-nucleotide ribosomal RNA is filed under the name uncultured bacterium. RNAcentral's name for it is "partial 16S ribosomal RNA". It matches the Rfam family "Bacterial small subunit ribosomal RNA", at positions 29 to 507 of the family's 1533-position model. The record is from RNAcentral.